This 483-nucleotide ribosomal RNA is filed under the name uncultured bacterium. RNAcentral's name for it is "partial 16S ribosomal RNA". The stretch from base 52 to 483 matches the Rfam family "Bacterial small subunit ribosomal RNA", at positions 39 to 506 of the family's 1533-position model. The record is from RNAcentral.
GGGGGGGGGGGGGGGGGGGGGGGGGGGGGGGGGGGGGGGGGGGGGGGGGGGGCGGGGGGCGGGGGGCGGCGGCGGGCGGGUGGGUGGGGGCUGGGAAGCGGCCUGGGAGGGGGGGGUGACGUCCGGAGAGGGGCGCGAAUACCGCAUGCGUCCUGAGGGAGAGAGUGGGGGAUGUUCGGACCUCACGCUAUCAGAUGAGCCUAGGUCGGAUUAGCUAGUUGGUGGGGUAAAGGCCUACCAAGGCGACGUUCCGUAACUGGUCUGAGAGGAUGAUCAGUGACACUGGAGCUGUGACACGGUCCAGACUCCUACGGGAGGCAGCAGUGGGGAAUAUUGGACAAUGGGCGAAAGCCUGAGCCAGCCAUGCCGCGUGUGUGAAGAAGGUCUUCGGAUUGUAAAGCACUUUAAGUUGGGAGGAAGGGCAGUAAGUUAAUUCCUUGCUGUUUUGACGUUACCAACAGAAUAAGCACCGGCUAACUUCGU